RNAcentral lists this ribosomal RNA (497 nucleotides) under uncultured bacterium. RNAcentral's name for it is "partial 16S ribosomal RNA". It matches the Rfam family "Bacterial small subunit ribosomal RNA", at positions 28 to 507 of the family's 1533-position model. The record is from RNAcentral.
GAUGAACGCUGGCGGCGUGCCUAAUACAUGCAAGUCGAGCGAACAGACGAGGAGCUUGCUCCGCGGACGUUAGCGGCGGACGGGUGAGUAACACGUGGAUAACCUACCUAUAAGACUGGGAUAACUUCGGGAAACCGGAGAUAAUACCGGAGAAGAUAUUGAACCGCAGGGUUGAAUAGUGAAAGACGGUGGUGGUGGCACGUAUAGAUGGAUCCGAGCCGUAUGAGCUGGUUGGGAAGGUAAAGGCUUACGAAGGCAACGAGGCGUAGCCGAGCUGAGAGGCUGAUCGGCCACACUGGAACUGAAACACCGUCCAUACUCCUACGGGAGGCAGCAGUCGGGAAUCUGCCGCAAUGGUCGAAAGCUUUGCGCAGCAACGCCGCGUGAGUUAUGACGGUCUUCGGUUCGUAAAACUCUGCUACUAGUGAAGAACCACUGUCUCAGUAACUAUGCACGUCUUGACGGUACCUGAUCAGAAAGCCACGGCUAACUACGUG